This is a long non-coding RNA of Salvia miltiorrhiza (redroot sage), 606 nucleotides long. RefSeq lists it as uncharacterized. NCBI's taxonomy places the organism in Eukaryota, Viridiplantae, Streptophyta, Magnoliopsida, Lamiales, Lamiaceae. The transcript is spliced from 3 exons. The record is from RefSeq and is a predicted model, not a curated record.
UUUAUGAUAGUGUUAUUGAUCUUUUUUCCGAUGUGUUUUUGUCUGAUUAUGGUCGCUGUUUGUGUUACUAGAUGACAAAUGCUAUAGCUAUUGAAGAUGUAAGGAAGGAAGUGAAGAUAUUGAGAGCUUUGACAGGCCACACCAAUCUCAUCCAAUUUUAUGAUGCUUAUGAAGAUCAUGACAAUGUUUAUGUAGUCAUGGAGUAAGUUAUGCAUUGCUUGCCUUUUUGUUCUUGAAUUGUUCUCUUAUGAUCCAACUCCUUUUUUGCUUAUAAUCUGUACAAAUUGGCAUGAUCUUGAGUUUCUAACCAUUGAUUCUGACUUCAUUUCUCAGACUAUGCGAAUGAGGCAAACUUUUAGACAAAAUACUUUCGAGGUAUAUCAAUUUGGGGUUUUUCGGGGUGGCUAGUAUACAGAAGACGAUGCGAAAUUAGUGAUGAUACAAAUACUGAAUGUUGUUUCGUUCUGCCAUCUCCAGGGUGUGGUACAUCGGGAUCUUAAACCUGAGAAUUUCUUGUUUACAUCCAAAGAAGAAGACUCAACAUUGAAGGCCAUAGAUUUUGGAUUAUCAGAUUUUGUGAAACCAGGUUUGUCGGAUUUGUUUUCU